CCUGGCAGCAGCCGGCCUCUCAGCCCGCGUUUGGAGAUUUGGACAGAAUCACGCCGUUUUACUUAUUUAUAUAUUUGUUUAAGCCACGCUGGGCCUGCUGGGACCGACUCAGCGUUUAUUUUCUCUGAGAAAACAUCGCCGCCGCCGCCGCCGCUCCAAACACGACAGCUGGACGCUCACUCGCUGCUGGUCAUCAAACGCCAACUGUCAUGUGAGUCACAAACGCGGUCGAUAAAGAUGAGUGCUGGUGUAUUUUUUUUAGCGUGUUUGUGGGUUUCACGCAGGGCCGGCUCGUCAGGAUGUGGACAGAGAGAGAGAGAGGGAGAGAGAGAGAGAGAGAAAGAGAGAGAGGGAGAGAGAGAGGGAGAGAGAGAGAGAGAGAGAGAGAGAGAGAGGGAGAGAGAGAGGGAGAGAGAGAGGGAGAGGGGGCGCUGUGAAAACCUCCAGCAGAAGUUCAACUCGUUUGGGUUUAGUUUUCAGAGGAGAGAGGACAGAUUCUCCUCUUUCCUCAGGAUUAAAGUGCACAGGCGCUAACGUCUGCAGUGUUUACCAUGAAAGAGAGCGCAGCCAAUCAGAUUAAAGAGUCCUUUAGCCGCAUAAAAAACUAUAAAAACCAGAUAUAGUACACAAUGCAGCAUGAAGAACUGAACUAUGACUGUGUUUUGUGUUUUUUUAGUGAGUCUGUGUCGGAGAGUGCGCAUGAUGGAGAGCUUGAUGGCGGUCUGGGUCUGGAGGAUUUGGUUCCUGCGGUGCUGAGAGGAAACUGGUGUGUUUGGAUCUAGUGCUGAGGGUUCCUGUGUCUUCUAGAGAUCAGCACCACACUGUGUGUGUCAUUGUGAUGGACAUGAGGGUUCCUGAUAUCGGGCGGAGUCUGGGGAUUGGCUCACAGCGAAUGAACGACAUCAGUCAGUCUGUGGAGGAAACGAACGACUCCCGAACGACUUGAUGCAGGCAGAGGGGGGAGGGGCGUAGCGUCAUUCACCAGUUCGUUCACUGAGUCACUCUGUGAUAUGAAAGAACGACACCUCGCACUCGUUUAGCCGGCGUGCUGCUUGCUGCCAUGUUGUUUCACUUGCGUCUUGAUGCGAACGUCAGCGGCACACAGAGUUAAGUUGUGAGUUUUUCAGGGCGGGGGAGUGAUUCUCUCUUCAGGACUUGGCGAAUGAACGAUAUGAGUCACCCGGUGAACGACGCCGUGACUUCAGCAGCAGAUCACUCCCUGAUGUACCGCACUGACUGAUUCAGUGAACGAAUCUUUUGAACGAAUCAUUCUAAUGAAGAUUCAGUUCAGUCAAAAGAAUCGAUCUUCCCAUCGCUCAUCAGAACUGCUUCAUAUCUUCACUAAGACGUUCAUGUUAAAACAAAAACAGAUGUUUACAUGAACUCUGAUCAUGAGGCAGAAAAAAACACUUUUAUUAUUAAUGAAUCAGCAG
This is a non-coding RNA of Xyrichtys novacula (pearly razorfish), 1433 nucleotides long. NCBI's taxonomy places the organism in Eukaryota, Metazoa, Chordata, Actinopteri, Labriformes, Labridae. The record is from the annotation of a GenBank genome assembly.